GAGUGCUUGCACUCAAUUGGAAAGAGGAGUGGCGGACGGGUGAGUAACACGUGGGUAACCUACCCAUCAGAGGGGGAUAACACUUGGAAACAGGUGCUAAUACCGCAUAACAGUUUAUGCCGCAUGGCAUAAGAGUGAAAGGCGCUUUCGGGUGUCGCUGAUGGAUGGACCCGCGGUGCAUUAGCUAGUUGGUGAGGUAACGGCUCACCAAGGCCACGAUGCAUAGCCGACCUGAGAGGGUGAUCGGCCACACUGGGACUGAGACACGGCCCAGACUCCUACGGGAGGCAGCAGUAGGGAAUCUUCGGCAAUGGACGAAAGUCUGACCGAGCAACGCCGCGUGAGUGAAGAAGGUUUUCGGAUCGUAAAACUCUGUUGUUAGAGAAGAACAAGGACGUUAGUAACUGAACGUCCCCUGACGGUAUCUAACCAGAAAGCCACGGCUAACUACGUGCCAGCAGCCGCGGUAAUACGUAGGUGGCAAGCGUUGUCCGGAUUUAUUGGGCGUAAAGCGAGCGCAGGCGGUUUCUUAAGUCUGAUGUGAAAGCCCCCGGCUCAACCGGGGAGGGUCAUUGGAAACUGGGAGACUUGAGUGCAGAAGAGGAGAGUGGAAUUCCAUGUGUAGCGGUGAAAUGCGUAGAUAUAUGGAGGAACACCAGUGGCGAAAGCGGCUCUCUGGUCUGUAACUGACGCUGA
Molecule: ribosomal RNA, 696 nt
Filed under: Enterococcus faecalis
Lineage: Bacteria; Bacillati; Bacillota; Bacilli; Lactobacillales; Enterococcaceae
Description: bacterial SSU rRNA
Rfam family: Bacterial small subunit ribosomal RNA
Source: RNAcentral